AGCGAAGUUAGCGAAGAAUCCAAUGGGAAAGAGGCUGUUCGAGGUGAUGAUCGAGAAGGAAAGCAAUUUGUGCGUAGCGGCUGAUGUUGGCACCGCCUCAGAGCUGCUCGACAUCGCCGAGAAAGUUGGGCCAGAGAUUUGCUUACUGAAAACUCAUGUGGAUAUACUGCCAGACUUCACCCCAGACUUUGGUUCCAAACUUCGCUCGAU
Molecule: unclassified non-coding RNA, 210 nt
Filed under: Hevea brasiliensis (rubber tree)
Lineage: Eukaryota; Viridiplantae; Streptophyta; Magnoliopsida; Malpighiales; Euphorbiaceae
Source: RNAcentral